CUUCGGAAACUUGAGAGCGGCGCACGGGUGCGGAACACGUGUGCAACCUGCCUUUAUCUGGGGGAUAGCCUUUCGAAAGGAAGAUUAAUACCCCAUAAUAUACUGAAUGGCAUCAUUCGGUAUUGAAAACUCCGGUGGAUAGAGAUGGGCACGCGCAAGAUUAGAUAGUUGGUGAGGUAACGGCUCACCAAGUCUGCGAUCUUUAGGGGGCCUGAGAGGGUGAUCCCCCACACUGGUACUGAGACACGGACCAGACUCCUACGGGAGGCAGCAGUGAGGAAUAUUGGACAAUGGGUGAGAGCCUGAUCCAGCCAUCCCGCGUGAAGGACGACGGCCCUAUGGGUUGUAAACUUCUUUUGUAUAGGGAUAAACCUACUCUCGUGAGAGUAGCUGAAGGUACUAUACGAAUAAGCACCGGCUAACUCCGUGCCAGCAGCCGCGGUAAUACGGAGGGUGCAAGCGUUAUCCGGAUUUAUUGGGUUUAAAGGGUCCGUAGGCGGAUCUGUAAGUCAGUGGUGAAAUCUCACAGCUUAACUGUGAAACUGCCAUUGAUACUGCAGGUCUUGAGUGUUAUUGAAGUAGCUGGAAUAAGUAGUGUAGCGGUGAAAUGCAUAGAUAUUACUUAGAACACCAAUUGCGAAGGCAGGUUACUAAGCAACAACUGACGCUGAUGGACGAAAGCGUGGGGAGCGAACAGGAUUAGAUACCCUGGUAGUCCACGCCGUAACGAUGCUAACUCGUUUUUGGGUUUUCGGAUUCAGAGACUAAGCGAAAGUGAUAAGUUAGCCACCUGGGGAGUACGAACGCAAGUUUGAAACUCAAAGGAAUUGACGGGGGCCCGCACAAGCGGUGGAUUAUGUGGUUUAAUUCGAUGAUACGCGAGGAACCUUACCAAGGCUUAAAUGGGAAAUGACAGGUUUAGAAAUAGACUUUUCUUCGGACAUUUUUCAUGGUGCUGUCAGGUUGUCGUCAGCUCGUGCCGUGAGGUGUUAGGUUAAGUCCUGCAACGAGCGCAACCCCUGUCACUAGUUGCCAUCAUUAAGUUGGGGACUGUAGUGAGACUGCCUACGCAAGUAGAGAGGAAGGUGGGGAUGACGUCAAAUCAUCACGGCCCUUACGCCUUGGGCCACACACGUAAUACAAUGGCCGGUACAGAGGGCAGCUACACAGCGAUGUGAUGCAAAUCUCGAAAGCCGGUCUCAGUUCGGAUUGGAGUCUGCAACUCGACUCUAUGAAGCUGGAAUCGCUAGUAAUCGCGCAUCAGCCAUGGCGCGGUGAAUACGUUCCCGGGCCUUGUACACACCGCCCGUCAAGCCAUGGAAGUCUGGGGUACCUGAAGUCGGUGACCCA
This 1350-nucleotide ribosomal RNA is filed under the name bacterium W46. RNAcentral describes it as "bacterial SSU rRNA". It matches the Rfam family "Bacterial small subunit ribosomal RNA", at positions 78 to 1437 of the family's 1533-position model. The record is from RNAcentral.